RNAcentral lists this non-coding RNA (87 nucleotides) under Salinicola sp. MIT1003. The record is from RNAcentral. Lineage: Bacteria; Pseudomonadati; Pseudomonadota; Gammaproteobacteria; Oceanospirillales; Halomonadaceae.
CGUUAUGGCGGGCUGCAUGGGGAGACCUUCGGGUCUGCCGGGUUCCUCUUUCUCCGGUUCGCCAACCCCGUGCAGUCCGCCCCCAAG